GCUAUUUACAGUUUUAUAAAAUUUGGGUCACAUAAUCUCCUUGCAAAAUGAAACAAAUUGCUAUUUUAAAAAAUAGGGGUCCAUGCACUCGUUUUCAAAUUAAAUCAGUUUGAAUGAUAAAAAUCAGUCGAAAAAUGCAUCUUUUCCCGAUAUGUCAUAGUUUGACGUCGCGAAAAUAACAUUUUACGUUAGCAACGUCAUUACCUUCCCUGUAACUGUAUCGUAUGCCCUUAAACAAGCAGCUCAAAUUGUAAA
Molecule: long non-coding RNA, 255 nt
Filed under: Mytilus galloprovincialis (Mediterranean mussel)
Lineage: Eukaryota; Metazoa; Mollusca; Bivalvia; Mytilida; Mytilidae
Source: RNAcentral